Molecule: ribosomal RNA, 433 nt
Filed under: uncultured bacterium
Lineage: Bacteria
Description: partial 16S ribosomal RNA
Rfam family: Bacterial small subunit ribosomal RNA
Source: RNAcentral
AACGAACGCUGGCGGCAUGCCUAACACAUGCAAGUCGAACGAAGGCUUCGGCCUUAGUGGCGCACGGGUGCGUAACGCGUGGGAAUCUGCCCUUGGGUUCGGAAUAACGUCGGGAAGCUGACGCUAAUACCGGAUGAUGACGUAAGUCCAAAGAUUUAUCGCCCAAGGAUGAGCCCGCGUCGGAUUAGCUAGUUGGUGAGGUAAAAGCUCACCAAGGCGACGAUCCGUAGCUGGUCUGAGAGGAUGAUCAGCCACACUGGGACUGAGACACGGCCCAGACUCCUACGGGAGGCAGCAGUGGGGAAUAUUGGACAAUGGGCGAAAGCCUGAUCCAGCAAUGCCGCGUGAGUGAUGAAGGCCUUAGGGUUGUAAAGCUCUUUUACCCGGGAUGAUAAUGACCGUACCGGGAGAAUAAGCUCCGGCUAACUCCGUG